CAACCCUCAAGCCUGGCUUGGUGAUGGGGCACUGCUCUUACCCAAGAGCAGGCCCUGAAAUUCAGUGGCGAGCUCGCCAGGACCCCGAGCGCAGUAGUUAAACCCUCGCUCUGGAAGGCCCUGGCGGUGCCCUGCCGUUAAACCCCCAACUUUUGAAA
This 158-nucleotide unclassified non-coding RNA is filed under the name uncultured Phomopsis. RNAcentral's name for it is "sequence contains ITS2". Lineage: Eukaryota; Fungi; Ascomycota; Sordariomycetes; Diaporthales; Cytosporaceae. The record is from RNAcentral.